GACGAACGCUGGCGGCGUGCUUAACACAUGCAAGUCGAACGGUAAAGCGAGUGCUUGCACUCGUGGAUCAGUGGCGAACGGGUGAGUAACACGUGAGUAACCUGCCCAUCACUCUGGGAUAAGCACUGGAAACGGUGUCUAAUACUGGAUACGACCAACCCUUGCAUGGGGUGUUGGUGGAAAGAUUUAUCGGUGAUGGAUGGACUCGCGGCCUAUCAGCUUGUUGGCGGGGUAAUGGCCCACCAAGGCGACGACGGGUAGCCGGCCUGAGAGGGUGACCGGCCACACUGGGACUGAGACACGGCCCAGACUCCUACGGGAGGCAGCAGUGGGGAAUAUUGCACAAUGGGCGAAAGCCUGAUGCAGCGACGCCGCGUGAGGGAUGACGGCCUUCGGGUUGUAAACCUCUUUCAGCAGGGAAGAAGCGAAAGUGACGGUACCUGCAGAAGAAGCACCGGCUAACUACGUG
This 469-nucleotide ribosomal RNA is filed under the name uncultured bacterium. Its description in RNAcentral is "partial 16S ribosomal RNA". It matches the Rfam family "Bacterial small subunit ribosomal RNA", at positions 28 to 507 of the family's 1533-position model. The record is from RNAcentral.